Molecule: ribosomal RNA, 510 nt
Filed under: uncultured bacterium
Lineage: Bacteria
Description: bacterial SSU rRNA
Rfam family: Bacterial small subunit ribosomal RNA
Source: RNAcentral
GAUGAACGCUAGCGGCAGGCUUAACACAUGCAAGUCGAGGGGCAGCACGUCUUCGGAUGGUGGCGACCGGCGCACGGGUGAGUAACGCGUAUGCAAUCUACCUUUUACAGGGGCAUAGCCCGGGGAAACCCGGAUUAAUAUCCUAUAGUACCAUUAUAUAGCAUUAUAUUAUGGUUAAAGUUUCGGCGGUAAAAGAUGAGCAUGCGUCCUAUUAGCUUGAUGGUAAGGUAACGGCUUACCAUGGCUAUGAUAGGUAGGGGUCCUGAGAGGGAGACCCCCCANACUGGUACUGAGACACGGACCAGACUCCUACGGGAGGCAGCAGUGAGGAAUAUUGGACAAUGGGCGCAAGCCUGAUCCAGCCAUGCCGCGUGCAGGAAGACGGCCCUAUGGGUUGUAAACUGCUUUUAUACGGGAAGAAACACCCCUUCGUGAAGGGACUUGACGGUACCGUAUGAAUAAGGAUCGGCUAACUCCGUGCCAGCAGCCGCGGUAAUACGGAGGAUACCG